AGGCCUGCCAAAAGGAUGUAGAGAUGUUAUAGGUUUCACUUCAGUGGUGACUGCAUAAAAGAUAAAUAGGUACUUUGGAAAUUUGGUUCCAUUAUAAAAGGAAACUUUUGGGGACAAAUCUUUAAAACAGCUUGUCAACUCAGUUACUUUGGAUGUGAACAAAACAUGAAUGUGUCCAUAUGUGGUGUUUAAUAUGACAUAACUGGAGAAGAGGCAUAAACAGUGGCACUUAUGAACACGUCGGACAGGGUGGGGGAAUGUGCAGAAAGUGAAGGCUUCUGCUUCCUUGACAGAGCACAUACUUCACAUGUGCAUGGUGGCAGAGCUAGAAAAACGUUUCUGCUAUCUGAAAUCUGAAGAAGUCUCUCCUCUCUUGAUCCCUAGACAUUGCUAUGAAAGAAGCACUUGUGUCAAAAGACAACCAUCAAACCAGCAAAGAAACAUAAUCCAAUUUGUAAUCCAAUAAAUAUAUUUUCCCAUUUGUUGCCAUUAGGAGUCUAAAGAAGAAACAUGGAUGUACAAAUAGAAAGAAUGUUUAAGUAGGGUGUAGGGGAGUGAAUGGGAAAGCUCUGAAGCCCUCCAGCAAGUUGUUAAAGCUGGAAAAUUGGGAGCUGGAAAGUAGAUAUUGCAAUGCUACCUAGGCUGGUACUAGCUGUCAUCCCUUCUUCACAAUGAACAGAAAUCCACAGUAGGUCAAGACUGGAUUCCUGUUUCCUCAGAGGGAAUAAAUUUUGGGAUAUUAAAGCACAAUAAUCAUGAGGGAGGGGGGGUAGGUCUUUGUGCGGUACCAGAAUAUUCCUUUUCUUGGCAACCUGUUGUUGACAAAUCUGAGAAAAAAGAUAACAUAUGCCAACAGAUGUUGAUGCAUGCACAGAUUUGAUUUCUUCCUCUGCCACAGCAGUAGGACCACCAGGAUCUUAAGAGAGCAUCUGAAAACUGAAGAAGGAAUAAAGUGAAGACUGCCGAACAGCUGAACCACAUGUGUUGGUUUUAAAAACACCUAUUCGCAUUUCAUUAAUGACACUUUCUUACCUUUCUCCCUAUACACCUUAUUCCUAAAGUGGAAAUCAUCCUUUUGAAGGUAAGGGCUGUAAGGUGGAUUUCUGUUUUAGCCACUGCCAAUUCUUUCCUUGUGUUAUUUCACAAGUGACAGAUUGUGUUACAGAUAUGAGUAUGCAAAAGACCUUUUGAUGCCUUCAGUCAUUCUUUUCACCUAAUUUUGUCAAAUUAUGCUAACAGCAGGACAGUGGGUAAGGAUGGGAGUCUGAUAGUGAAGCUCCAGAAAAGUCAGGAGGACUGGGUAACUUUAGAGCAGCUUAUUGGAACUACUUGUAGUCAUCAUUUGCUUCAAGCCAAGAUUUUCUAUGGAUGAUGGAAAGGAAGUCUCUGAUGUUUGCUGCUUGUGAGGUGAGGAAAAAAGCCAUGGCAGCCUCUAGCAGUGUUUGGAGGUAUCUGUUUGGCAGCAGCAUAGAUGCAUUUCCUCUGCUUUGCCUGCAAGCCACUGCCAGCUGUGAAUACAUUUGUCGCAAGGGACAUCAUAAUCCUUAGGUCCUGCUAAGAGGAAAGCUUCAGUGGUGAUUGUUUUGUCAUAAUGGUUUAAUCUCUGACUCAUUCCAAGUCUCUUGUUUCACAGUUGUGUGUUUAUUUUGUGGGCCUCUGUGUGCUUCUGUAUCUGUAAUGAUUUUGUUUGUUUUGCAGCUGUUGUUGCUGUAUCAGUGAAGACUGUGGGAUUCUUCCUUAUUAAGAAGAAUAUUUCUUCAGCAUUAGAAGAACUAAAGUAGGCAUGGGCAAACUUCAGCUAUUAGGAAUUGUGGGCGUUGAAGUACAAAACAUCUGGAAAGCCGAAGUUUGCCCACACCUGAUCUAAAGGAAGGGUCUGUUGCAAUGCUAGCUGUCCUUCUCUCCUCAAAUCAUAUAUGACUAACACGGAAAUCUGGACAAUGUUCAGUUAAUAUGCUUAAAUCUCUAAGCAACACUGGAUAGUAUGGACGAUAUCAGCUGUAAACACUACCUAUUAAAUGUGAGCAUUCUUCGCUUGA
Molecule: long non-coding RNA, 2039 nt
Organism: Anolis carolinensis (green anole)
Lineage: Eukaryota; Metazoa; Chordata; Lepidosauria; Squamata; Anolidae
Exons: 2
Source: RefSeq, a predicted model, not a curated record